This 402-nucleotide ribosomal RNA is filed under the name uncultured soil bacterium. RNAcentral describes it as "bacterial SSU rRNA". It matches the Rfam family "Bacterial small subunit ribosomal RNA", at positions 26 to 426 of the family's 1533-position model. The record is from RNAcentral.
AGAGUGAACGCUGGCGGUAGGCCUAACACAUGCAAGUCGAACGGCAGCACGGUAAGAGCUUGCUCUUAUGGGUGGCGAGUGGCGGACGGGUGAGGAAUACAUCGGAAUCUACCUUUUGGUGGGGGAUAACGUAGGGAAACUUACGCUAAUACCGCAUACGCCCUUCGGGGGAAAGCCGGGGACCAGCAAUGGCCUGGUGCUGAUAGAUGAGCCGAUGUCGGAUUAGCUAGUUGGUGAGGUAAUGGCUCACCGAAGGCGACGAUCCGUAGCUGGUCUGAGAGGAUGAUCAGCCACACGUGGAACUGAACGACACGGUCCAGACCUCCGUACGGGAGCAGCGAGGUGGGAAUAGUGGAACAAGUGGGACGCGAAGCCGUGACUCCGAGCCCACGUACCGGCGGU